UACGUAGGGGGCAAGCGUUGUCCGGAUUUAUUGGGCGUAAAGAGCGUGUAGGCGGCUUUACAGGUCCGUUGUGAAAACUCGAGGCUCAACCUCGAGACGCCGGUGGAAACCGUAAGGCUAGAGUCCGGAAGAGGAGAGUGGAAUUCCUGGUGUAGCGGUGAAAUGCGCAGAUAUCAGGAGGAACACCAAUAGCGAAGGCAGCUCGCUGGGACGGUAUUGACGCUAAGGCGCGAAAGCGUGGGGAGCAAACAGG
RNAcentral lists this ribosomal RNA (253 nucleotides) under uncultured bacterium. RNAcentral describes it as "partial 16S ribosomal RNA". It matches the Rfam family "Bacterial small subunit ribosomal RNA", at positions 524 to 776 of the family's 1533-position model. The record is from RNAcentral.